Molecule: long non-coding RNA, 16962 nt
Filed under: Malus domestica (apple)
Lineage: Eukaryota; Viridiplantae; Streptophyta; Magnoliopsida; Rosales; Rosaceae
Description: long non-coding RNA (MDOM_LNC018049)
Source: RNAcentral
AUCAUGCAACGACUUUAGAAAACAAAGAAUGCACAGAUUUUAACUCUCCAAAUAAACGUUUAGGCUCAAGUCUUACAAGGUUGUAGCGUUAGUUUGAGUUUCUUCCUUCAAGCAUGUUACAAAAAAACUAAUUUUUUUCUUUUAUGAUUGCAUGUGAAUUCAUAAGUUAUAACCACAACUAAGCAUAACAAAGAGUAAAUCAAACUUUCAUCCAUGUUAAUCACUCUCUUUAACAGCCAUGUAAUUACAAACCGAAUCCUCAUCAUUGUGUUGGAAGGUACCCUAAGACACAAACAAACACACAAAAACAACUCUUUUUGGGUUUUUAAAACAAAUUUUUCAAAUUUUUAUGUGAUUUUCGGAUUUUUGCAUUAACACACACUAAAACACACCAAAACUGCUAAAAAACACCUAAAAACAGCAAGGAACAAGUCUCCAAGUUAAGGGUGAUAAAAUCCCACGAAUUUGCAUCUAAAACACUUAGUUACCCCCCCACACUUAAAUCAAACAUUGUCCUCAAUGUUUCAAGCAUAAAAUCACACUAAACAAAAAGAAACAUAAAACAGCAAGUAAAACAACUAAAAUAGGCAGAUUCAAAAUAAACAACAAAGAGAAGGGUUUAGGAACGCAAAUCUGGAAUUGGAGUGAUUCCUUGGGCUUCCUUUGUUGAAUUGCAUGGGUUGCCUCCCAAGUAGCGCUUUCUUUAACGUCGUACAGCCGGACGAAAAGCCCUUUUAUUCUCCAUUUGUGCUCACGGCACCCAAAGAAAUAUCCUCCACGGUUUGUUCAACAAAGUUCUCAUAAUAUGGCUUCAAACGGUGUCCGUUCACUCGGAAUUCAUGACCUGUUUUGAGACUUUGAAUCUGGAUGGCACCAUAAGAAGAUAUGUUAGUAAUAACAAACGGUCCAAUCCACUUAGAACGUAACUUACCGGGAAACAACCGUAACCGGGAAUUGAACAAUAGCACUUUCUGCCCAAUUGAGAAUGAUUUCCCACGGAUCAUGUUGUCAUGGAAAGCUUUGGUCUUUUGCUUGUAAAUGCUUACAUUAUCGUACGCCUCAAGCCGUAUCUCAUCAAGCUCAUUUAAUUGCAAUCUCCUUUGACUUCCUGCUUCCUCGAGGUUCAUGUUAAACUUCUUAAUGGCCCAAAGUGCUUUGUGCUCCAAUUCAACAGGAAGAUGGCACGCCUUGCCAUGGACAAGUCGGAAGGGGGACAUCCCAAUGGGUGUUUUGUACGCCGUACGAUACGCCCAAAGUGCGUCAUCAAGUCGUAGACUCCAAUCCUUCCUCGUUGGCCCAACGGUCUUCUCUAGGAUUUGCUUGAUCUCACGGUUGGAAACCUCGGCUUGCCCAUUAGUUUGAGGAUGGUAAGGUGUAGAAACCUUAUGGGUGACACUGUAUUUCCUCAAUAACGCUUCAAUAGUCCGAUUGCAAAAGUGUGACCCUCCGUCACUAAUGAUCACUCGUGGCAUUCCGAACCUUGCAAAAAUGUUAGUUCUAAUAAAAUCUGCAACCACCUUAGAAUCAUUAGUCCGGGUGGCCUUGGCUUCCACCCACUUUGACACAUAAUCAACCGCAAGCAAAAUAUAUGUAAAACCAUACGAAGAAGGAAAAGGACCCAUAAAAUCAAUACCCCAAACAUCAAAAAUUUCAACAUUUAGGAUAGACACCUGCGGCAUUUGGUCCCUAGCACUAAUACCACCCAUUCGUUGGCAUUUAUCACAUGUUAAGCAAAAGUUUUAGCAUCUUUAAAAAUACUAGGCCAAUAAAAUCCACAUUGUAACACCUUAAGGGCUGUGCGUUGUGUACCAAAGUGCCCUCCACAUGCAUAUGUGUGACAAAAACUCAAAAUUGAAUGACAUUCAGAAUCGUGCACACAACGACGUAUAAUCUGAUCGGGGCAAAAUUUCCAUAAGUACGGAUCAUCCCACACAUAAAACCGUGCAUCAUGCCUAAGUUUAUCACGUUGGUGCCUAGUGAACUCACUUGGAAAUACGUUUUGACACCAAAAAAUUAAACAAUAUCGGCAUACCAAGGUGCACUAACCUUAAUGGACAGCAAUUGUUUCAUCGGGGAAUGUCUCCAAAAUCGGCACCAACUCCUCAUUAUGCACCAUUCGGCUUAGGUGGUCAGCCACCACGUUCUCACUUCCCUUCUUGUCCCGAAUCUCUAUGUCGAACUCUUGAAUUAACAAUAUCCAUCGAAUUAGCCGUGGCUUGGCCUCCUUUUUGGUGAGCAAGUACUUCAGAGCUGCAUGAUCAGUGAAAACAAUUACUUUAGUUCCAAUUAAAUAUGAUCGAAAUUUAUCUAAAGCAAAGACAACGGCAAGAAGUUCUUUUUCCGUAGUGGAGUAGUUCAAUUGUGCAUCGUUCAACGUCCGUGAGGCGUAGUAAAUGACAUGCGGCCUCUUUUCCUUUCUUUGUCCUAAAACAACUCCUAAAGCAUAGUCGGACGCAUCACACAUGAGCUCGAAAGGUAGACUCCAAUCCGGUGGAACAAUGAUGGGUGCCGUGGUCAACAACUCCUUGAGUUGGUUGAAUGAUGCCGUGCACUCCUUGGUGAAUUCAAACGCCACUUCUUUUUGUAGGAGUCGGCAAAGAGGUUGUGCUAUCUUCGAGAAAUCUUUGAUAAACCUACGAUAAAAUCCUGCAUGGCCAAGAAACGAACGAACCUCUCUAACCGAAGUCGGAGAGGGUAAGUGACGUACAAGAUCUAUUUUCGCCUUAUCAACCUCAAUACCCUUUUCAAAAGAUUAUAUGACCUAAAACGAUACCUUUGUUUAACCAUAAAAUGACACUUUUUCCCAAUUAAGUACAAGGUUAGUUUCAACACAACGUUUUUAGGAUCACACUUAGAUUAUGCAAGCAACUAUCAAACGAAUCACCAAAUACGCUAAAAUCAUCCAUAAACACUUCAAUUAUCUUUUCUACAUGAUCAGAAAAUAUGCUCAUCAUACAUCUUUGAAAUGUAGCAGGUGCAUUACAUAAACCAAAAGGCAUGCGACGAUAUGCAAAGGUACCAAACGGGCAUGUAAAAGUGGUUUUUUCUUGGUCCUCGGGUGAAAUGACAAUUUGAUUAUAACCAGAAUAACCAUCAAGAAAACAAUAAAAAGCAUAACCCGCUAACCUCUCAAGCAUUUGGUCAAUGAACGGCAAUGGGAAGUGGUCCUUCCUCGUGGUGGUGUUUAGCUUCCUAUAGUCAAUGCACACCCUCCAACCGGUUUGAAUACGUUGAGGGACAAGCUCAUUUUCAGCAUUAGCUACCACCGUCACUCCGGAUUUCUUCGGUACGCAUUGAACCGGCGAAACCCACCUAAUAUCCGAGAUUGGAUAGAUAACCCCACAAUCUAGAAGUUUUAUGAUCUCCUUUUUCACUACUUCCAUCAUCGGAGGGUUAAGACGGCGUUGAGCCUCUCUAGUUGGUUUGGCCCCCUCCUCAAGAAAUAUGUGAUGCAUACAGGUCGUAGGGCUUAUACCUUUAAUAUCGGCCAAUGUCCAACCUAGGGCAGAUUUGAACUCCUUCAAAACUCGAAGCAACUUCUCCUCCUCCUGUGAAGUGAGGGAAGAGGAAAUGAUGGCAGGUAGUGUUUCCUUUUCUCCCAAGAAAAUGUACUUCAGAUGGCUUGGCAAAGGCUUGAGUUCAAGGAUAGGUGCCUGAAUUAUAGAUGGAAGCAAUUUGUUAGUCGAAAUGGGAAUGGACUCACGGUUAGUAUACUUACCAUCAAGCUUAGGUAAGGACUCAAGGGCAGCCACAACUUCAAGUAAUUCCUCACUAGGGGGGCACGGCACAAGAUGACUCAUGUAUGCCGUGGGCAUGCAUGCAAUCUGCCCCCUUGUUUUAAUUUCCAUGCCUCGUGUAAUGACUUUUUCAAGCGCAUCGUCAUUUAAAUCGUCGAGAUAUCCCUGCGCCAAAGAGUCAAUUAUAUCAAUAGAAAAGCAUGAAUGGUCCUCACUAGGGUAUUUAAUGGAAUCAGAAAGAUUAAAAUUAACAACUUCCCCAUCGAAUUCCAUGGACAAAGUUCCACUAUACACGUCAAUCUUCGUCCGGGGCCGUCUUCAUGAAUGGCCUUCCAAGUAGAAUGGGCAGCGAAGGAGCAUGGUCCGAUUCAUCCAUUUCAAGGACAUAGAAAUCCGCCGGGAAGACUAAAUGAUUAACCUGCACAAGAACAUCUUCCAAAACUCCCUUUGGAUAGGCGUUAGAUCUAUCGGCCAAUUGUAUUAUUACCCCAUCAUUUUUCAAUGCUCCUAAGUUCAUAGAUGCAUAAAUGGAAUAUGGCAUAACAUUUAUAGAAGCACCUAAAUCAAGCAUGGCAGAUUCAAAUCUAGUAUUCCCAAUAACACAAGGAAUGGUAAAGCUACCUGGAUCUUUACAUUUGGGAGGUAAUUUGCGUUGCAAAAUGGCAGACACAUUCUCACCUACCUUGACCACUUCCUUGGUCGACAUCCUCUUCCUCGUGGUACACAACUCCUUCAAGAACUUAGCAUACCUCGGAACUUGCUUGAUUGCAUCUAACAAAGGUAUGUUAACUUGAACUCUCCUAAAGGUUUCAAGGAUAUCCUUUUCUGCCUCUUCUUUCUUCGUUUGCAGGAACCUACUAGGAAAAGGCACAUUUGAAGGGAAAACAUUAGUAUGAACUGGAUUGGACACGUUCUUACCUUUGUGGGACGAAUUGGGCAGAUUUGGGACAUUAGGGACUUGCGGCAAAGGUGGAACCACCUUUGCCGUGGGCUGCUUUGAUGCCUCCUCUUCCAAUUCCAAAAGUUCAUCCUCAUUAUGACCUGUUUUUGGUGUAGAACCUGCCCCAACUUCCUUACCACUUCUUAGGGUGAUAGCUUUGGCACUUUCGAAACCUCCCUUCGGAUUUGGAAUGGUGGAACUAGGGAGUUGUCCGGGAUCUCGAAACUUACCUACAAACUCGGCAAUCUGCCCAAUUUGUUUCUCAAGUUGAUCCACCCUUUUAUCUUGGUUUUGCAUAGCCUUUGCUUGAUCUUCCUGCCCAUUAGACAACUUAGUUAGUAUCUUAAGAAGUGCAUCAUUGUCAAGAGACGUACCUGAGGCACUUGGGCCGGAUUGGGCUUGAUUUUGGGGUGGGCCGUAGGUUUUGGGAAAGAACCCCGGGGGUUGUUGCCUAAAGCCUCCUUGGUUCUGAGGUUGCUGAGGCUCCCUCCACUUGAAAUUUGGGUGAUCUCUCCAACCGGGAUUAUAUGUGUUUGAAUAUGGAUCGUUCCUUGGUUGGUUUUGCCCUUGAAACCCAAUUGCAUGAGCGCUUUCCCAUCCGCCAUUUUCAAUCAACUGUGGACAUUUUUCAGAGACAUGUCCUUGGAUGGAACAUACGCCACAUACAAUUGGUCCUUGCAUCUUCAUGCCUUCGGCCAUCUGAGACACAAGAGAAGUAAGAUUAGCCAAUUGUGAAUGAAGAUCAGGAGUUGAACUUACCUCAUGUACUUGGUGCCGUGGGGGUCCUCUUUGGCCUACACCCUCGUACUGUUGAGCGUUCAACGCUCUAUUAGCAAUCAAGACCUUGGCAGCCAUGGGUGUUUUGUCCACCAAUGCUCCCCCCGCCGAAGCAUCAAGCAUUUGACGUUCUAGAGGUAGGAGGCCCUCGUAGAAAUAUUGCAAGAGCAAUUCCUCCUUCAUCUGAUGCUGUGGACAAGAAGCAACAAGUGAUUUAAAUCGUUCAUAAUAUGUAGGAAAAGACUCACCUUCUUCUUGCUGAAUUCCGCUUAUCUUUUUGCGUAGGAGGAUGAUGCGAGAAGUUGGAAAGAACUUCUCCAAGAACGCUCUCUUCAUACUCUCCCAAGAAGUGACAGUGCCGGGAGCUAACUCAUAUAACCAAUCCUUGGCUUUAUCCAUCAAAGAGAAUGGAAAAGCCUUCAUCUUCAAGAUAUUUCCGUCAACAUUGACGGGAGUCAUACUAGAGCAAACUACUUCAAAUUCUUUCAAAUGUUUGUUAGGAUCUUCCAUGGACAAGCCAUGGUAUUUAGGAAUAUGAUGAAGCAAACUUGACUUUAAUUCAAACUCAUCCGUCUUACCUUGGGCAGCCAUGGGGUAUUGAAUGCACAAGGGUGCGGCAUUAUCCAAACCCGAGGCGGAAAGCUCAUUGAGUGUACGAUUGUCCAUGGCCAUGCCUUGGACUUCUUCAAAUAUCCCUGCCGUGGCUUCCUCCUCCUCUUCUUGUACGUUUUCUUUUCUUCAAGGUCAGAUUCGGAAUUGGGUGGAUGGUGUUCUUGCUGGUUUCUAGCUCUUCUUAACUUCCUCUCAAAAUCGUCGUCAAAAUCCAAGAUGUUUGUACGAAUCGGUUGAGAGCUUCUAGUCAUACAUUAGUACCUAAGAAACAAGAAACAAAAUUAGGUCAGAAACUUAAACAAAGUCAGAAACAAAGUGAAAUAAAAGAAACAAAAACAAUCCAAGGGAUUAGCAAAUUUGCUAAUCCCCGGCAACGGCGCCAAAAAUUUGAUGCGAAAUAUAUUAAGCACACAAAUUAAACCCUCUUUUUGUCAAAUUGUAGCAAAGAUGUAAGUAGGGAUCGUUCUAAACCGGGGAUUAGGAGGGAUUGCUAAACACUUGGAAACUGACUUAAAAACUCAAAAACAAGGUUUAAAACACUAAACUAGACUCAAAGAAUGCAAAAGUAAAGGUUAAAACACUUAAACAAACCUAAAACUCAAAACAGCAACUAGAAGGCUCAAAACUGCCUAAAAACCACUUUCUGGGCAGUUUGAGCACCUACACUAAUUUGAACGAAAUUUGAUGAAAACUUGAAUCAAAAUACUUAGAAACACAAAUCAAAACACUUUCUAACUAAUCUAAGACUUCAAAUUAAAGGGGGAUUUGUUUUUGGACGAAAAUUUAACAAACACAAAACAGAAACUUGAAAACUAAACAGAUUGUAAAAAACGAUUUUGGUGAAAUAGAUGGAUAAAAGGCUAGUUAGGAGGUUCUUCUCCACACAUGUCACACUUGCAAACAAAACGAUUUUCAGUUGUUCUUCCAAUAAAUUAUAAAGACUCAAUGCCCCGAAUUAACUGUGAAUUGCACUAAUUAACCCUCAGUUUUUCCAGAAUUUAUCAAGUUGGAUGAUUGCAUACGACAACUCAAAAACAUUCCCUACAAGUUCCCUACAUGAAUUGCAUAAUAGAGAUACAAGCAAGAAUCAUUACGUUCUAUGAAAAACAUAAGCAUUGACGAAGCAUUUUGUUACUAUGAAUUGCAUGAAACUUAUGCUAAGAAUUCAUUCAACGCGAUCGUUUUCAAGCGAUCUUCACACUACUUGUGAUUAUAAGAUUGUAACUAUUAGGUGAAACUCCCUCAUAAUCUAGCAUCAUAUUCAUGCAUGAAAAUUAAGCGUGCACUCUCAAUCAACAUACACAAAUAAGUUAUCAAUCAAAUAGAUGAACGAAAUUGAAUCCAUAACUCAUGAAAAUAACAACUGAAUGAAUGUAAUCGAAUCAAAUUGCAAGCAUGUACAUGGUUUCGAAUCACCCCCCAACUAAGGGGGUUUAGUUCCUCAUACUCACAACACAAAGUUUUAUUGAAUUGAAAACAUCGAAGACAUAAGAAGAUUACACCCUAAAAUGCCAAAGAAGUCUACUUUGAAUUCUGCACAGAAAGCUCCUCUUUCUUCUUCUCCUUGUUGCGGCAGAGUUGGUUUAGGGGGUUUUUGGAUGGUUUUUGGAUGACUUUGGAUGAGAGGAGAAUGAUGGAAAACUAUCUAGGGUAGGUGUAGGGCACGGCUAGGAAGGUUUGGGGUCAGAAAAUAUGGAUUUGGGUGUAGGUUGGGCUCGGCAAAGGUGAGGGAACAGGUUCUGGCGUGAAUGGAGUUUUGCUGGAUGUGUUUUUUUUGGUUUUUAGAAGGGAGUUAGGAUGGUAGGGUGGUGCGGCAAGGUGUGGGAAAGAGUUAUGGAGGUGUGGAAUGGUGUCUAAAGGUGGAGGAUGGUGGCUGGAAUGGAUCAAAGGCUGCGGCAAGAUGUGGUUUUGGUGAUGGUAGCUGCGGCAAGAGGUGGGGAAAGGGGGAGAUGACUUUCUGAUUUUAUGGAGAGGGAAGAAGAACUUCGGCAAGGUGGUUAAAACACAAAAUAUAUAAGCACCUAAAACCCUAAUGAAAUCAGAUUAGACAACAAUGGGCUAGGGUUAGGUGCGGCACUUAAGUGAACAUGGGCUAGGGUUUGUAAAAAUAGGCUUCUAGGAUGGAAAGGUGCGGCUUGGGUGUAGGAGGAAUGGACUAGGGUUUAACAUGGCAGAUUUUUAGAUGAUUAGGCCCUAGGGUUCGGCAUGGGUUGAAGGUCCACAAGGAAAUUUGGGUUUAGGUCAUCUAAAAGCCCAACGCCAAGAAUAGAAACUCUCGAAAAAUGGAAACCUCCAAGAAUAGAAAACUUCCAACUUUUAGAAACUUUGUUUGGUUGCCAAUUCCGAUUUAGAAAGAAAUCGACCAAAAUGGAAACUUUUAGGCUUUACUUCCAUCAAGUAGGAAAAACAACUCAAAACUUUCUUCAACUCUUAGCAUUCUACAUACUCAACUUUGCGUUUCAAGCCCUUCAAUCUUCAAACUUCAAUUCUAUUUCCAACUUUGCGUUCCAAGCAAUGUCCUUUUCAAAUUGCAAGCUCAAAUUUUUCCAAGCUCAAUUGUUCAUUCAUGUACGUCCGCUAAACCUGAAAACACAAGAAAGUAGCUUAAAAGACUACUUUAACAAAGAAAACAUAACAAAAAUGCAUAAGAACUAGCUAACUAAGGCGCAUAAAUAUGCUCCUAUCAUUCUUCGCCUCGUUUUAUCCAUUGUGUAGUUAAGGAUUUGCAUAAUGAUAAGGUGCAAUUCAUUACCUUUGUUUAUGCUUAUCAUUAGAAACAUUUACAAGCUUGGGAGAGGCUCAUACACCAACAAACCAUCCUUGGUGUUUAAUUGGAGACUUCAAUAAUAUUGUGGACUUCACUGAAAAGCUUGGGAGAUGCUCUAAUACUACUACCUACAUGAAUAACUUCAUUGAUUUUCUAAAUAAGAGUGACUUGAUUUCCCUAACUGCUUCCGGUGUUCCUUAUACUUGAACUAAUGGUCAUAGUGACAACACUAGAAUUUAUGAGAGUUUUGAUCGUGGUGUUGCUAAUCCUUAGUGGUUAGAGAGUUUCAUGACUUUUCUUUACAUAAUUUUCCUAUCAUUGGAUCGGAUCAUAGUCCCAUCUUACUUACUAAUAAUGUAAACCCUGUUAAAAAAAGCUCUUAUUCCUUCAAGUUUGAAGCUCUGUGGUUACGUCUGAUAGGAGCAUAUUUAUGCAACUUAGUUAGCUUGUUUCUUGGCAUUUACUUAGUUUAAUUCUAGUUAUUUUAGUACUUUAAGCUAUUUUUGUGUGUUUGUAGGUUCAAAUAACAAAGUUGGCAACAAAGUGCUAUUUGCAGCAUUUUUGGGCCAAGAUUGGAUAGUACAAGCAUGGAGACAUGAGAAUGGACGUUUUUUAAGAUUAGAAGGCUAGAAAUCAGCAUGUGUGUGUGCAAGUGUGUUGACCUACAACUACAAACAUCAUAGCUGCCAUGUGAUGACAGAAAAUGUGUUGAUUGCUAGCUGAAAUGAUGAAGAUGAACACGUCACAUGGAAGAAAUAUGGACAGCACACACACAUGCAAAGAGGAACACGGCAUAGGCAGAAAAGGUGUUGAUUGGUAGCUGAAAUGAUGAAGAGCAUGUGUUUGCAAGAGUAACAGCUGGUACAUGUGGAAAUAAAGAGAGAAAACAGCAAGAAAGACACAGCAUGGGCAAUAAAAAAUAAAGAAUGAAGGAGUGGAAAUGAUGAGUACAUGGACAACACACACAUAGGAAAGAAAGGCACGGCAUGGGUAGAGAAUGGGUUAAUUUAUGGCCGAAAUGAUGAAGAGCAUGUGUGUGUGUGAAUGUAACAGCUAGUACAUGUAGAGAUACAACAUAAAGCACGGCACAUGGGAGAAAAGAGGGCAUACACACACAUGCAAAGUGCAUGGACAGCUUGGAGGGCAGAGAGACACAUGCAAAGUGUGGAGACAUCAUUCAUACACACACAUACAAGGGGGACAAUUCUACAUGCAAGGAAAUUGGGGUCUUUUCUCUUUUAACAUUCAACCAUCCCUUCUCCUUAAACAUACACAAACCAUACCACAACAAAGCAUGACAUCUCACAAAUCCAUUCCCUUCCAUUCCUUGCCGUGAGCUCCAUGCACUACACCCAUUACAUCGUCUCAUUACCACAACACUCAUCCACUACACUCAUUACAUCCACUCAUUACCACAACACUCAUCCACUACACUCAUUACAUCCACUCAUUACCAAACAUCCAUCAACUACACCCAUUACAUCCACUCAUUACCAAACAUCCAUCCACCACACCCAUUACAUCCACUCAUUACCACAACACUCAUCACUACCACCUUAAUUAGAUGGUGGUCCUCUCCCUAGCCUAUAAAUACAUCCACCCUUCACCAUAACAAGGGAAGAAAAAAAUCAGAAAAAAAAAUCCAUCCAAAGACACUACAUUCACAUCUCACAACUCCAUACACUUACACUUUCAUUCCUUGGCCGUGAGCACCAUCCAUUCAUCCAUUCAUCCAUUCAUUUCCCAUAUAUCUCAAAACACAACUCCAUACACUCCCUUCCCUUGGCCGAGACAUUCACCAAUCCUAAAUACAUUCAUAACCUUUCCAUAUAUCCAUACACAUCCUUAGACACUUGUGCUGCAACAAGGUGGUGAAAAUGAAGGUCCUUGGCGUUUCAAGCUUGAAACUUUGAAACGUUUUAGGUGUAUUUUGUUCUUGCUUUCAAUGUCUACUUUGUUAUUUUUUGAUUUUGUUGCAAUUAUGAGUACCUAAACCCCCCUUAGUUAGGGGGAAUUCGAAACCAUGUUCAUGCUUGCAAUAUGAUUUGAUUAAUUUCAGUUGUGAUUCAUAAGUUGUGAAUUCAAUCUACUUAUCCAUUUGAAUUAAAACUGAUUUAUGUGUGUUGGUUGAGAGUGCACGCUUAAUUUUCAUGCAUAAAUCUUAUGCUAGGAUAUAAGGGAGUUUCACCUAAUCGUUAUGAACUUAUAUUCACAAGUUGUGAAGGUUGCUCGUCACAACCGUGUUAAGUAAAUUCUUGGCAUAAGUUUCAUGCAAUUCAUAGUUACAAGUGUUUAGUCCAUGCUUAUGAUUUUCAGAGAACUUAAUGAUUCUUGCGUGUAUCUCUAUUAUGCAAUUCAUGUAGGGAACUUGUGGGGAAUGCUUUGGGUUAUUGUAUGCAAUCAUCCAAUUCAAUGAAAUUAGGAAAAUCUGAGGGUUAAUUAGUGCAAUUCAUAGUUAAUCUGAGGCAUUGAGAAUUCGUAGUUUAUUGAAAAGCAACUGGAAAUCGUUUUGUUUGCAAGUGUGUCAUGUGUGGAGAAGAACCUCCUAGCUAGCCUUCCAUCCAUUCAAUUUACUCAAAUUCGUGCAAAUUUCAUUAGUUCUUUAAUUUACUUGUUUUGUUUUCAAAUUCGUCAAAACCAAAACCCCAUUUACCGUGUUGAGUCAUAUUAGUUAGAAACUGAUUUAGUUUGUGUUUUUAAGUAUUUCGAAGUUAAAACCAAAAUUCGUCCAAAAGUGUGUUAAAAUCCAAAUCUGCCCAGUUUGUGUUUUUAGGUAGAUUUGAGCGUUUUUAGCUUGUUUUGAAUUCGUUGAGUCUAGUUUAGUGUUUUUAAGUCAGUUUAUAGGUUAUUAGCAAGCCCUCCUAAUCCCCGGUCCAGAACGAUCCCUACUUACAUUCUUUACUACAAUUGAUACAAGAGGGUUUAAUUUGUGUGUUAAGUAAUUUUCGUAUCAACGUCAUCCUAAUUUUAGGAAUUUUGUCGAAAGUGCUUGGACUUGUACAAAUACUUCAAGGCUAUAAGAAAAGUUUGUUGCUUGUGCAGGGACAUUCAAGUAUUUGGUAAGGAAGUGGAACAAAGAGACCUUUGGUAAUGUCAAAGAUCGUAAAGAUAAGCUUUUAACCUCUCUCAGUGAUAUUCAAAAAAAAAUUAUGAGGGAUCAAGAUAACUCUAUAAGCAUGCAUGACGAGGUUAAAAUUAGAAGUGAGCUUAACAGAGUUUUAUAGGAAGAGGAAAUUAUGUGGGCUCAAAAAGCUAAGGUUAAGUGUGGCUUCAAUUGGGAGAUAAAGAUACUAAAUAUUUUCAAACGGUGGCUUCUAUCCGUAAGAAAAGAAAUGAUAUAAAAUCUACUAAAGACAGUAAUGGUUUCUAGUGGAAUUAUGGGGAAAAUCUAUAGCAAGUUUUUGUGCAGGAAUUUAAAUUGCGUUUUUCUUGUGAUAAUUCCCCUUCUCAGGAGACAUUAGCUACAAUGGUUGAUAUCAUAACUCCUUGCAUUGAUCAUACACAUAAUAUGCAACUACUUGAAUGUAUUUUAGAUGAGGAAAUUUGGGAAGCGAUGAAUAGCAUUGGUGUGUUAAAAGCACCCGGACUUGAUGGUCUUUGUGCUGCUUUUUACCAAGGUUGUUGGGAAGAGGUUAAAGAUACUAUUAUUCCUAUGAUUAAAGAUUUCUUUCAAAAUAAUUCAAGCCUAAGGUUUUGAUGCGUAUAUAGAUAAGCACACAAAUUAAACCCUCUUUUGUCAAAUUGUAGUAAAGAUGUAAGUAGGGAUCGUUCUAAACCGGGGAUUAGGAGGGAUUGCUAAACUCUUGAAAACUAACUCAAUAAUGUAAAAACAAAGUUUAAAACACUAAACUAGACUCAAAGAAUGUAAAAUUAAAAGUUAAAACACUUAAACAAACAUAAAACUCAAAACAGCAACCUAAUGACUCAAAACUGCCUAAAAAUCACUUUCUGGGCAGUUUUGAGAACCUAACAAGAACUUGGACGAAGUUGGAUCAAAACUUGGAUCAAAACACUUAAAAACACAAAUCAAAACACUUUCUAACUAAUCUAAGACUUCAAAAUAAAGGGGGAUUUGUUUUGGACGAAAAUUGAAAACAAAACAGAAACUUUAAAACAAAACAGAUUGUAAAACGUUUUUGGAUGAAAAGGAUGGAUAAAAGGCUAGUUAGGAGGUUCUUCUCCACACAUGUCACACUUGCAAACAAAACGAUUUUCAGUUGUUCUUCCAAUAAAUUAUGAAACUCAACACCCCAAGUUAAUUAGAUACGCUUAAAUUAACCUUCAAGUUCUCCUUAAGUUAAUGAAUUGGAUGGGAAAAACGCAUACAACAAUUCAAAGCAUUCCUCAAAGGUUCCUUACGUGAUGAGCACAAUAAAGAUACAGUCAAGAAUCAUGAAGCACGAUGAGAACUAUAAGUGUUGACGAAGCAUUCGUUACUAUGAUGAGCAUGAAACUCGUGCCAAGAAUUCAUUCAACGCGAUCGUUUUCAAGCGACCUUCACUACUUGUGAUUAUAAGAUUGUAACUAUUAGGUGAAACUCCCUCAUAAUCUAGCAUCAUAUUCAUGUAUGAAAACUAAGCGUGCACUCUCAAUCAACAUACACAAAUAAGUUAUCAAUCAAGUAGAUGAACGAAUUGAAUCCAAAACUUAUGAAAUAACAACUGAAUGUAAUCAAAUCAUAUUGCAAGCAUGAACAUGGUUUCGAAUCACCCCCCAACUAAGGGGGUUUAGUUCCUCAUACUCACAACACAAAGUUUAUUGAAUUGAAACAUUGAAAACAUAAGAAAGAUUACACCUAAAAGUUCCAGCAAUCUGCAAUAGACUAGCAAGCACAUUCAAGAGCACUCCUUCUUCUUUCUUGCUGCGGCACAAGGUAUGGAGAUGGUUUGGAUGGGUUUUGGAUGAUGGAGAAUGGUGGGAAGGUGUCUAGGAUGGGUGUAUGGCACGGCUAGGAAGGUUUGGGGUCAGAAAAUAUGGAUUUGGGUGAAGGUUGGGCACGGCAAAGGUGAGGGAAAGGUUUCUGGCGUGAAUGGAGUUGUAUGGAUGUGUGUGGAAUGUUUUGUGGCUGCAACCAAGAGGUUUAUUUAAAGGAAAACAGAAAUUAAAACCCUAGGUUGAUUAGGAAAUCAGAAAUUAAGUCUAAGGAUUCUAGAAUUAGGAAAUAAAAUCAGAAACUUAAAGGAAACCCACCAAAAGUUGCGGCAAUUACUUAAAACACAAAAGGAAUGUGUUUUAAGUCAGAUUUUGGGAAAGAAACCCUCCCCCUUGCACGGCAAGGAAGAGGAAAGGAUGAGGGAGGUGCGGCUCAUGUCUUAAGAAAGGAAACAUGUCCUAAAACUAAAGGGAAAUAGGUCUACUUGUGCGGCAAGGGUUUGGGAAAGGUCUAAGUCACCUAAAACUGAUGGGAAAGAGGAUCCCUUGCAUGGCAAGGAAGGGGGAUUAAGGGAAAGGUGCGGCAAAGGUCCUAGAGUGGUUUAGGGCCUUUGUUUGGUGUCCCAAAGUGCUUAAAAGGUAUUCAAAAUGGCUGGAAAUUAAGGACAUUUAGGAAUAGGGAAGGUCAACCAAAAUAGGAAACCUUGGCUUAACUUUCCUACUUUAAGUAGGAAUCCUUGUUGGAGUAGGAAUCCUUGUUCUUCUAGGAAUCCUCAAAUGAGUAGGAAUCCUUCUUCAAUUAGGAAUCCUUUGUUGAUUAGGAAUCCUUCUUGCAUUAGGAAACCAACUUUCUUCAAGACUUCAAUUCAUCCAUUCCUUUUGCUCCAAAAGGCUCCAAUUUGCUUCUUUUUGCACACUUUGACCUUAGAACCUGAAAACACACAAAAGUGACUUUAAACACUAAAAUAGCUAAGUAAACACAACCUAAAUGCACGAGAACAAGCCAAUUAAGUAGCAUGAAUAUGCUCCUAUCAAAUUCCCCCACACUUAGCUUUUCCUAGUCCUCGAGCAAAACAAACAAAAGAAAGGAAACAAAACGAAACAAACUAACCAAAACAAAACCUACACCUUCCAACGUUUGCCUCAGGGAUUUCCAAUGCACAUGACAUGUUAAAGAUUGUUAUCCCCACAGAUUUGAGUUCUCUUCACUCAUAAGCACAUACUUAAUUAAAGCCACUACUUACUAGUUCACAAGUAAUCAAUUAAAACAAUGCUUUGAAUGUAGUAACAUGCCUUAGAGAAUUCCCUCAAUUCCUUACAAGAUAUACACUCUAUUUUCACUCAGAUUUUCUAACUACACACCCUACACUAGUCAUAUGUGAGAAGAUUGAUGUAGAUAUGAAAACGAAUGCUCACAUAUAUGUAUCACAAAGAACGCAAUUUCUAGAGUUAAGAAGCAUAUUUAGAUAUGAUCUCAUGAAUGGAAUGCUACUACUUAGAUGCAAGAACCAGUGACACCAUAUGCUCAUACCAAAUUCAAACUCCACAAAUUGAAACACAUAACACUCAAGAUAGAAGUUAAGGGUUGUAAUGGGGCUUGGGGUGUUGGUUAACAAGGAAAGGAUAGGGAAAACAAACGUUCUUCAAGCAAUAGUAAGCAAAGCAAUGAAAUUGAGACUUAGAAUUCACUUAGAUUGCAGAAAUUAACUUUAAAACACAAGGGGAAGACUUAAACAACUCCUUAGGGCCGAAUUCAUUGUUUUGGACCCUUACUUCAACAAACCAUACUUUGGAACUCUUUUUCUCAACCUUUCAACUCUUUUUUCAAACUUUUCAUAUUUUUUUCUUCAAUUUUUCUUUUUCCACGAAAUUUUUUUUAUUUUUUAUUUUCUUUUCUUUGCCGUGCCCAUGGCACACAAUUCCUCAAAAAACACUUCCCCCACACUUAUUUUCUGCCAACAUAAAUCAAAAGGAAUUCAAUUUGAAUCAUGCUUUACUAUGCUUCAAGAACAAGGGUAAGGAUGGUCCUAAUCUAGGCUAGGUGAGGGUAAUGUGGGUUAACAAAGAAAAGGCUAAACAAGGCUCAACGGGGUUAAACUUAAACAUAUAAUGGAGUAGGGCACACGGCUUUUUGGCUAAGGUGGUGGUCACUACACAACUUCAUCUUGAAUAUGUGUUAUGCAAUUCAAUGACAUGCUUUGAAUGAAAUGGGCAUGAGUUCUAGUAUUUGGAACUAAAUGAUGAAACGCCUUCUAAGUAGCAAUCAAGCAAGGAAUAAUGAGAUCAUGCAACGACUUAGAAAACAAAGAAUGCACAGAAUUUAACUCUCCAAAUAAACGUUUAGGCUCAAGUCUCACAAGGUUGUAUCGUUAGUUUGAGUUCCUUCCUUCAAGCAUGUUACAAAAACUGAUUUUUCCUUUAUGAUUGCAUGUGAAUUCAUGAGUUAUAACCACAACUAAGCAUAAACAAAGGGUAAAUCAAACUUUCAUCCAUGUUGAUCACUCUCUUUAACAGCCAUGUAAUUACAACCCGAAUCCUCAUCAUUGUGUUGGAAGGUACCCUAAGACACAAACAAACGCACAAAAACAACUCUUUUUGGGUUUUUAAAACAAAAUUUUCAAAUGUUUAUGUGAUUUUCGGAUUUUUGCAUCAAAACACACUAAAACACACCAAAACUGCUCAAAAACACUUAAAAACAGCAAGGAACAAGUCUCCAAGUUAAGGGUGAUAAAAUCCCACGAAUUUGCAUCUAAAACACUUAGUUACCCCCCCACACUUAAAUCAAACAUUGUCCUCAAUGUUUCAAUCAUAAAACCACACUAAACAAAAAGAAACACACAAACAGCAAGUAAAUAACAAAACUGGGCAGAUUAGAAACAAGCAACAAAGUGAAGGGUUUUAGGAACGCAAAUCUGGAAUUGGAGUGAUUCCUAGGGCUUCCUUUGUUGAAUUGCAUGGGUUGCCUCCCAAGUAGCGCUUUCUUUAACGUCUUGCAGCCGGACGAAGACAUGAUCAUGCCCCAUUGGAGCCCACGGCAUCUAGUGGGAUUUCUUCCACAACAUGCUCAACAAAGUUCUCGUAGUAGGGCUUCAAUCUAUGUCCAUUCACCUUGAAUUCUUGGCCGGUUUUCAAACUUUGUAUUUGGACUGCACCAUGCACAAAAACAUUAGUGAUAACAAAUGGGCCAACCCACUUAGAACGUAACUUAUCGGGAAAUAGACGAAGACGGGAGUUAAAUAGCAACACUUUCUGCCCUA